Molecule: ribosomal RNA, 247 nt
Filed under: uncultured eukaryote
Lineage: Eukaryota
Description: partial 18S ribosomal RNA
Rfam family: Eukaryotic small subunit ribosomal RNA
Source: RNAcentral
UCGUGUUUUGAAAUGUCUGCUUGAUUGCGUUAACGAACGAGACUUCCGCCUUUAAAUAGAGUGGAUAAGCGAGUGCUGUGGAGUUUGAGGUCAAGAGGUGAGCCCGGAGGCGUAAGAAGGGUUUUGUUCCCCUUGCGUUUUUCCGACUGUGCUGUGCUCUGGCUGAUCCACUUACCGCUUGUUCAAGUAUUUCUCUUCUUAAAGGGACUAAUGACAAAAAGUCAUGGGAAGUGGGAAGCAAAACAGG